This 72-nucleotide transfer RNA is filed under the name Mustela putorius furo (domestic ferret). It matches the Rfam family "tRNA". From Rfam's summary of the family: Transfer RNA (tRNA) molecules are approximately 80 nucleotides in length. Their secondary structure includes four short double-helical elements and three loops (D, anti-codon, and T loops). Lineage: Eukaryota; Metazoa; Chordata; Mammalia; Carnivora; Mustelidae. The record is from Rfam by way of RNAcentral.
GCCUUUCUGGCUCAGUAGGUAGAGCAUGUGACUCUUAAUCUUGGGUUGUGAGUUUGAGCCCCACAUUGGGUA